This 253-nucleotide ribosomal RNA is filed under the name uncultured bacterium. RNAcentral's name for it is "partial 16S ribosomal RNA". It matches the Rfam family "Bacterial small subunit ribosomal RNA", at positions 524 to 776 of the family's 1533-position model. The record is from RNAcentral.
UACGUAGGGUGCAAGCGUUGUCCGGAAUUACUGGGCGUAAAGCGUGCGCAGGCGGUUUUGUAAGCCAGAUGUGAAAUCCCCGGGCUUAACCUGGGAAUGGCAUUUGGGACUGCAAGGCUCGAGUGCGGCAGAGGAGACUGGAAUUCCUGGUGUAGCAGUGAAAUGCGUAGAUAUCAGGAGGAACACCGGUGGCGAAGGCGGCUACCUGGGUCGACACUGACGCUGAGGCGCGAAAGCGUGGGGAGCAAACAGG